This 347-nucleotide ribosomal RNA is filed under the name uncultured bacterium. RNAcentral's name for it is "bacterial SSU rRNA". It matches the Rfam family "Bacterial small subunit ribosomal RNA", at positions 917 to 1267 of the family's 1533-position model. The record is from RNAcentral.
GGGCCCGCACAAGCGGUGGAGCAUGUGGUUUAAUUCGAUGAUACGCGAGGAACCUUACCAGGGCUUAAAUGUAACGGGACAGAUCUAGAGAUAGAUCCUUCUUCGGACUCAUUACAAGGUGCUGCAUGGUUGUCGUCAGCUCGUGCCGUGAGGUGUCAGGUUAAGUCCUAUAACGAGCGCAACCCCCAUCGUUAGUUGCCAACGAGUAAUGUCGGGAACUCUAACGAAACUGCCGGUGCAAACCGUGAGGAAGGUGGGGAUGACGUCAAAUCAUCACGGCCCUUACGUCCUGGCUACACACGUGCUACAAUGGUCGGUACAGAGAGCAGCCACUACGCGAGUAGGAG